AUUGAACGCUGGCGGCAGGCCUAACACAUGCAAGUCGAACGAGUGGCGGACGGGUGAGUAAUGUCUGGGAAACUGCCUGAUGGAGGGGGAUAACUACUGGAAACGGUAGCUACUACCGCAUACCAUCGGAUGUGCCCAGAUGGGAUUAGCUAGUAGGUGGGGUAAAGGCUCACCUAGGCGACGAUCCCUAGCUGGUCUGAGAGGAUGACCAGCAAACCUGGAACUGAGACAGGGGACAGACUCCUACGGGAGGCAACAGUGGGGAAUAUUGCACAAUGGGAACAAGCCUGAUGCAGCCAUUCCGCGUGUAGGAAGAAGGCCUUCAGGUUGUAAAGUAAGUUAAGCAGAGAAGCGUUACCAGCAGAAAAAGCAACGGCUAACUCCGUGCCAGCAGCCGCGGUAAUUC
Molecule: ribosomal RNA, 406 nt
Filed under: uncultured bacterium
Lineage: Bacteria
Description: partial 16S ribosomal RNA
Rfam family: Bacterial small subunit ribosomal RNA
Source: RNAcentral